CGAGAGAGGUUGGGGAGAGGGGACGACACCCGUCUCAAAUCUGUUAUGGCUCGUGAGGCAGAUACGUAGCCAAUAGUGCAUUAAAUUGCAAAGAUGGCCAGAGCAGCUGAUUCCCACUGAGAACACAAGUCCCGGAGAAACUGCUCUUCUGAGCAAAGACAGAGGAAAAACAUUUAAUUCAUUCACAUGAGCAAUUAAAUAGUAACAUACGACUCGAGUGACUUUGAGGC
Molecule: long non-coding RNA, 230 nt
Filed under: Eucalyptus grandis
Lineage: Eukaryota; Viridiplantae; Streptophyta; Magnoliopsida; Myrtales; Myrtaceae
Description: long non-coding RNA (EGRA_LNC005672)
Source: RNAcentral